CGCCGCCAGCCUGACCGCCUCCCCCAUCCAGACCUUUAACUCGGCCGGUCCGUACCAUUCCCGCGGGCGGGAGGGGGGCCCGGGCCAGGGUGCCUUUCUCCCCCGGCCCCUCGGUGGUCCGGUCCCGUCCCGGCGUCCCGAAACCCGACUCCGGCUCGGCUCGCUGGGCGCCGCGGAACCCGCGGGGGGUCUGGCUCUCCCCUGGGGGCGCCUCGCCGGCUCCCCUCCGCCCUUCGGAGUCCCGGGAGUGGAAGCGCCCAGACUGGCUGACUCAGGAGAGAGUGGAAAGGAGGGGGAGAGACAGAAACAUGGAUGUGAGAGAGACACUUCGAUUGGUUGACUUCUACAUGCACCACGACCAGGGUGGGAAUCGAGCCUGCAACCGAGAGGGAAGGAGAGUAACUUUGGAGAAAGAGAGCAGAUACGACCUUAAUCAAGUGAUCCACGGCAACUUCGCCUGUUAUGGGACACACUGGCUUGUGCCUCCUGGUAGGCUACACAAAGAAUCACUUCUGUGAUGUCCCUGCCGAAGAUGCAAAACCUACACCUAAUCAUGAGGCUCCAUCAGAUAAACUCCAAUUGAGGAACCUUCUACGGAAUAACUGGCCCAUAAUCUUGGUAACUGUCAAGAUAAUGAAAGGCAAGAGAAAAACUGAGGGACUGUUCCAGAUGAAAGGAGAUGAAAGAGAUAAGACAGCUAAGUACAUGAGUAUUUCUGGACGGAUCUUUUGGCUUAUUACAAAGGACGUUAUGAGUGGGACAAUUGACAAUCUUUGACUGGCAUCUGAAGAUUAGGUGAUAGCAAUGUAUCAAUGUCAGUGUCCUGAUUUGGAUGAUUUUAUUGUGAUUAAUAUGUAAGAGAAUUUCCUUGUUUGUAGAAAAUACGGACUAAAGUAUGGCAGUGGUCACGUGCGUUGGAUCAGCAACUUAACAAAUGGCUCAGAAAAAUAAUCUCUCUAUACAAAGAGAGAAUGAUAAAGCAAAUGUGUUUACAUGUCAACAUUUGGGGAUUCUGGGUGAAGGAUAGAUGGGAAUUCUUUGUACAGUGUUUGCAACUCUUCUGUAAGCUUAAAAUUAUUUCAAAAUAAAGUUUAAAAGUUAUUCAGAUGAUACUUAAAUCAUAUAAUGUCAGGCAGUGAUAAGUGAUAUAUAGAAAAAUGAAGUGGGCAAGGGAAUAGCAGAUGAAGGGGUGGUGGUAUUCUAGGUGGUGUGGUCAGGCAGGCCUCUCGGGGAAGGGACAUUUGAGCCGAGACCUGGGUGAAGGGAUGGAGUGAGUCCUGUGGAUAUCUGGGGAGAGAGCCUUCCAGGCUGAAGUUCCCAUCAGAGAAAAGGCCCAAAGUGGAGCCUGCUUAGCACGUGUAUUACUUUCUAUUACCAUGUAAUAAAUUACCACACACUUGGUGGCUCAAAACAACACCCACUUAGCUCCCAGUUCUGUAAGUCACAAGUCUGGCACAGUAACCUGUGCUAUAUAACAUAACCUAAUCACAUCAGCA
Myotis daubentonii (Daubenton's bat) is the source of this 1496-nucleotide long non-coding RNA. RefSeq lists it as uncharacterized. Lineage: Eukaryota; Metazoa; Chordata; Mammalia; Chiroptera; Vespertilionidae. The record is from RefSeq and is a predicted model, not a curated record.